Long non-coding RNA from Ictalurus punctatus (channel catfish), 647 nucleotides. NCBI's taxonomy places the organism in Eukaryota, Metazoa, Chordata, Actinopteri, Siluriformes, Ictaluridae. The record is from Ensembl.
GUGGGAGGUAAGCGUGGGGUCGGCGCCGUAGAAAGCUGCGCGGCUUGGUUUAGCCGAGCUACCUGCUCAGUCAGGUGGGCGAGACGGUGAUCAUGUUCACUAAUCAUCCGGCCAUGUCCCUCGAUGGCUUGCGGCCAACGAUCUCCCGCUGCUUCCAUUGGAAGGCGAAGUAUUCUGUCACAAACCUCGAAACGGCACGGAAGCAGGAGCGGGCGGCGGGGGUAGAGCGUAGAAUCGGGAAGUUCAAGAAACGUAGUUGUAGGGUAAACAAGGGUCAAGCGAUCGGGCGAACAAUACAAACGGGGAUAGGCAGAAAGCGUAGUCGAGACAGAAAACAAGGGUCGAGGAUCACGAGAAACAAACAAACUAGAACGGCUUGGUAACGCAGAGAAACGAGCUACUGAGCGUAUACUUCGCGUAUAAACUGGGUGAAUGACUUCCCUAAAUACUAGCGGUGAGUGUGUGUGAUUGGUGCCAGGUGUGACUGAUCAGAACUCUGGGGAUGGUGAGCGCAUGCGUGCAUGAGAAGUGAGUGUUGCAUCUUGGGAAUUUGAGUUCUGAUUGGGCCGAGCUGUGACAGUCGGUGAAUAAGCGGUUGUAACUCUCCUUCAUAAGCCUAUGACUAACUGUCCCUGCAAAUGGAUCUC